GGAUGAGUGGCAGAGCGGUUGAUUGCACCAGUCUUGAAAACUGGCGUGGAUGCAAGUCCAUCGUGAGUUCGAAUCUCACCUCAUCCGCCA
RNAcentral lists this transfer RNA (90 nucleotides) under Rhodospirillaceae bacterium. Its description in RNAcentral is "tRNA-Ser". It matches the Rfam family "tRNA". Rfam says of the family: Transfer RNA (tRNA) molecules are approximately 80 nucleotides in length. Their secondary structure includes four short double-helical elements and three loops (D, anti-codon, and T loops). Further hydrogen bonds mediate the characteristic L-shaped molecular structure. tRNAs have two regions of fundamental functional importance: the anti-codon, which is responsible for specific mRNA codon recognition, and the 3' end, to which the tRNAs corresponding amino acid is attached (by aminoacyl-tRNA synthetases). tRNAs cope with the degeneracy of the genetic code in two manners: having more than one tRNA (with a specific anti-codon) for a particular amino acid; and 'wobble' base-pairing, i.e. permitting non-standard base-pairing at the 3rd anti-codon position. Lineage: Bacteria; Pseudomonadati; Pseudomonadota; Alphaproteobacteria; Rhodospirillales; Rhodospirillaceae. RNAcentral also lists the same sequence under 1 other name. The record is from RNAcentral.